GACGAACGCUGGCGGCGUGCCUAAUACGUGCAAGUCGAACGCACGAAGUUGAAGAGCUUGCUCUUUAACCAAGUGAGUGGCGGACGGGUGAGUAACACGUGGGUAACCUGCCCAUUAGAGGGGGAUAACAUUCGGAAACGGAUGCUAAUACCGCAUAGUUUCAGGAAUCGCAUGAUUCUUGAAGGAAAGGUGGCUUCGGCUACCACUAAUGGAUGGACCCGCGGCGUAUUAGCUAGUUGGUGAGGUAAUGGCUCACCAAGGCAAUGAUACGUAGCCGACCUGAGAGGGUGACCGGCCACACUGGGACUGAGACACGGCCCAGACUCCUACGGGAGGCAGCAGUAGGGAAUCUUCCGCAAUGGACGAAAGUCUGACGGAGCAACGCCGCGUGAGUGAAGAAGGUUUUCGGAUCGUAAAACUCUGUUGUUAAAGAAGAACAAGGAUGAGAGUAACUGCUCAUCCCCUGACGGUAUUUAACCAGAAAGCCACGGCUAACUACGUGCCAGCAGCCGCGGUAAUACGUAGGUGGCAAGCGUUGUCCGGAUUUAUUGGGCGUAAAGCGAGCGCAGGCGGUUCUUUAAGUCUGAUGUGAAAGCCCCCGGCUCAACCGGGGAGGGUCAUUGGAAACUGGAGAACUUGAGUGCAAAAGAGGAGAGUGGAAUUCCACGUGUAGCGGUGAAAUGCGUAGAUAUGUGGAGGAACACCAGUGGCGAAGGCGACUCUCUGGUCUGUAACUGACGCUGAGGCUCGAAAGCGUGGGGAGCAAACAGG
Molecule: ribosomal RNA, 771 nt
Filed under: uncultured Vagococcus sp.
Lineage: Bacteria; Bacillati; Bacillota; Bacilli; Lactobacillales; Enterococcaceae
Description: bacterial SSU rRNA
Rfam family: Bacterial small subunit ribosomal RNA
Source: RNAcentral